RNAcentral lists this ribosomal RNA (253 nucleotides) under uncultured bacterium. RNAcentral describes it as "partial 16S ribosomal RNA". It matches the Rfam family "Bacterial small subunit ribosomal RNA", at positions 524 to 776 of the family's 1533-position model. The record is from RNAcentral.
UACGUAGGGUGCAAGCGUUACUCGGAAUUACUGGGCGUAAAGCGCGUGUAGGCGGCCAUGCAAGUCGGAUGUGAAAGCCCUCGGCUCAACCGGGGAAGUGCACUCGAAACUGCAAGGCUAGAGUCUCGGAGAGGAUCGUGGAAUUCUCGGUGUAGAGGUGAAAUUCGUAGAUAUCGAGAGGAACACCGGUGGCGAAGGCGGCGAUCUGGACGAUGACUGACGCUGAGACGCGAAAGCGUGGUGAGCAAACAGG